GACAGAGGGUGCAAGCGUUGUUCGGAAUUACUGGGCGUAAAGCGCGUGUAGGCGGCUAUGCAAGUCGGAUGUGAAAGCCCUCGGCUCAACCGGGGAAGUGCACCCGAAACUGCAAAGCUAGAGUCUCGGAGAGGAUCGUGGAAUUCUCGGUGUAGAGGUGAAAUUCGUAGAUAUCGAGAGGAACACCGGUGGCGAAGGCGGCGAUCUGGACGGUGACUGACGCUGAGACGCGAAAGCGUGGGGAGCAAACAGG
Molecule: ribosomal RNA, 253 nt
Filed under: uncultured bacterium
Lineage: Bacteria
Description: partial 16S ribosomal RNA
Rfam family: Bacterial small subunit ribosomal RNA
Source: RNAcentral